Molecule: ribosomal RNA, 431 nt
Filed under: uncultured bacterium
Lineage: Bacteria
Description: partial 16S ribosomal RNA
Rfam family: Bacterial small subunit ribosomal RNA
Source: RNAcentral
AACGAACGCUGGCGGCAGGCCUAACACAUGCAAGUCGAGCGCCCAGCAAGGGGCGCGGCAGACGGGUGAGUAACGCGUGGGAACUUACCCUUAUCUUCGGGAUAGCUCCGGGAAACUGGAAUUAAUACCGAAUGUGCCCUUUGGGGGCCAGUUUUAUCGAGUAAGGGUCGGCCCGCGUUGGAUUAGCUAGUUGGUUGGGUAAAGGCCUACCAAGGCGACGAUCCAUAGCUGGUCUGAGAGGAUGAUCCGACACAUUGGGACUGAGACACGGCCCAGACUCCUACGCGAGGCAGCAGUGGGGAACAUUGGACAGUCGGCGCAAGCAUGAUCCAGCCAUGCCGCGUGAGUGAUGAAGGCCUUAGGGUUGUAAAGCUCUUUCACCGGAGAAGAUAAUGACGGUAUCCGGAGAAGAAGCCCCGGCUAACUUCGUG